AGAUUGAACGCUGGCGGCAGGCCUAACACAUGCAAGCCGAGCGGUAGAGAGGUGCUUGCAUCUCUUGAGAGCGGCGGACGGGUGAGUAAUGCCUAGGAAUCUGCCUAGUGGUGGGGGAUAGCGUUCGGAAACGGACGCUAAUACCGCAUACGUCCUACGGGAGAAAGCGGGGGACCUUCGGGCCUCGCGCCAUUAGAUGAGCCUAGGUCGGAUUAGCUAGUUGGUGAGGUAAUGGCUCACCAAGGCGACGAUCCGUAACUGGUCUGAGAGGAUGAUCAGUCACACUGGAACUGAGACACGGUCCAGACUCCUACGGGAGGCAGCAGUGGGGAAUAUUGGACAAUGGGCGAAAGCCUGAUCCAGCCAUGCCGCGUGUGUGAAGAAGGUCUUCGGAUUGUAAAGCACUUUAAGUUGGAGGAAGGUUGUAACUUAAUACGUUGCAACUUUGACGUUACGACAGAAUAAGCAACCGGCUAAACUUCGUGCCAGCAGCCGUA
Molecule: ribosomal RNA, 497 nt
Filed under: uncultured soil bacterium
Lineage: Bacteria
Description: bacterial SSU rRNA
Rfam family: Bacterial small subunit ribosomal RNA
Source: RNAcentral